RNAcentral lists this ribosomal RNA (117 nucleotides) under Lepisosteus oculatus (spotted gar). The record is from RNAcentral. Lineage: Eukaryota; Metazoa; Chordata; Actinopteri; Semionotiformes; Lepisosteidae.
GCCAGCAGCCAUAUCAACCUACACCACAACUGGCAACCCAGUGAACCUAAGCAGGUGUGAGCCUGGUUAGUACCUGGAUGAGAGACCUCCUGGGAAAAACUAAGGUUGCUGCUGGAA